RNAcentral lists this ribosomal RNA (548 nucleotides) under uncultured bacterium. RNAcentral describes it as "partial 16S ribosomal RNA". It matches the Rfam family "Bacterial small subunit ribosomal RNA", at positions 355 to 895 of the family's 1533-position model. The record is from RNAcentral.
UGGGGAAUAUUGGACAAUGGGCGCAAGCCUGAUCCAGCCAUGCCGCGUGUGUGAAGAAGGCCUUCGGGUUGUAAAGCACUUUCAGCGAGGAGGAAGGGUGGUGUGUUAAUAGCACAUCAUUUUGACGUUACUCGCAGAAGAAGCACCGGCUAACUCUGUGCCAGCAGCCGCGGUAAUACAGAGGGUGCAAGCGUUAAUCGGAAUUACUGGGCGUAAAGCGCACGUAGGCGGUUUUUUAAGUCAGAUGUGAAAGCCCCGGGCUCAACCUGGGAAUUGCAUUUGAAACUGGGAAACUAGAGUGUGUGAGAGGGGGGUAGAAUUCCAAGUGUAGCGGUGAAAGUGCGUAGAGAUUUGGAGGAAUACCAGUGGCGAAGGCGGCCCCCUGGCACAACACUGACGCUCAGGUGCGAAAGCGUGGGGAGCAAACAGGAUUAGAUGACCCUGGUAGUCCCACGCGUAAACGAUGUCUACUGCUGUUCGUGACUUGUGUUGUGAGUAGCGCAGCUAACGCACUAAGUAGACCGCCUGGGGAGUACGGUCGCAAGAUU